AAAAUAACAAGGUGAUUUAAUCAUGAAUCAUCUAACAAUUCCACAAUUUAAACCUAACCUAAUAUCUAAGCUAAGCACAUUGAUUAACAUGGUGAUUAAAUGGAAAUUAAAAUCAUGGUCAAAAACAAUAUUAAGAACCCUAAUAACAUUAACCAUGGCCAAAUUAAACAAAUUUUAGAUCACAAAAAAAAUUAAAAUAUAGUAAAAAAUAUAUUAGAAAAUAAUAUGGAAAAAUAUGAGAAAAAAGAAUGGCAAAAAAAUGUAAAAAUGAAUAACAAAAAAGGGUUGGAAUUGUAGACACGGGUGUAAUAAGGAGAUCCAGCGCAUGCCUAACAUGAGGCCCACCGCCAAUUAGCCAUUGGAAACCAGGGGAUUCAUGAGUAAAACAAGGUGAUGUUCAACAAAGUGAUGAUAAUCCCAUACCAAGUAGGCCCAAAAUGUGACAAAGCAAUAUCAAACAAUCACUCAACAUUCCAGUUCCAAUGAAAAUGAUAUUCAAAUUAAAAUGAAAAAAUAAUGCGCCAACUGAAAUUGAAACAUUCAAACACUCAUAUCAAGAAACCACCAACAACCACAACACUAGAGGUUGCCUCCGACAACGGUGGUGCACCAAGGAUCAAAUAAAGACCACCAUCUUAUGCACAAUGACUCACUGGUGAAAAAUAUGGGGAUGAUUUCACGAAAAUCUCACUCAAAAGCUCAAAUCGAAGGCAACGACAUCAAGAACCCUAGAAGUUCUAGGUUAGAUUAAAUGAAAACUAUGAGGAAUCAAGGCCUAGGAUGUUAGGGCUUUGAUUCCUCUUGAAAACCCCUACAUCUCGAUAACCAGGAAAUGAAGAAAUAAUGGAGGUUUGGGAUUACCUCGCCGGAAAAGACGCUCAGAAAAAUGUCUCAAGUAAGUUCUUCCUCUUCCUUUCUCCGCUCUGUCUUGCUGCGAAACCUCUUAUUCUACUUCUUCCUUUCUUGAAUUCGUGAGUGAGAAUGAAUGUUGAGAGAGCUGAAUCGAGGAAAAAUGUUGAGCUGGUGAGGAUCUGUGAUGAUGAAUGAGGGAGGUUGAUGAUGAUCGAACUCCGGGAUUGAAGAUUAUGUAAAUGUGUGAACUCUGAGAGUAUUGAAAUUCUGAGAUGAAUAAGUGAUUGGAGAGAUUCAUGAUUUGAGAGAAGUGAUUAUGAUAUGAAAUGAAUAGUUAGUUCAAUGAUUAGGGAAUGAUAGAUUAUAUAGUUGGUUAAGCCUUGGGAUUUGUGAGAAUCAAUUAGGUUCAGUUGAACUGAAAUUGUUGAAUUCGAGGGUGAGUUUGUUAUUUUCUGUUUUGGUGAUUUGCUGAUGUCGAGGCAAAGUUAACUAGAAUGUUAGUUAGGUGAUGUAACAAUGAUAGUUAGUUGAGGUUCAAUUAGUUGGUAAUGUUAGGUUAGCUGAAAUGUUCAAUGUUAGGGUUAAUUCAAUUUGAAAGUGAUGAUGUGGUUGCAGGCUUGGCUCGAUUUUCUGUCUUGCCAUGAUUAAUGUGCUUGCAAUGUAUUGUUCAAUGUAUGCUAAUGAAAUGGUUGGAAAUGGCCAAGAGUUGUUGAUGCAGAUGCUUGAUUGAUGUGUAAUAUUUAUUGCAGGUUUGUGCUCAACUUGGUGCAGGGUCAUGAUGCAAGGCCUACUAAGUUGGUUUGCAAUGUUGUCUACUGUUUGCCUUGCCUUGCUACAGGUUUGAUGUGUUGUUGCAACUAUAUGGGUGUUAGGUCUGUUUUAGGCUCAUGAACUUGUAUGUGUUGGUCUUGCAACAUGUUUUACUUUUGUGUACAUGUCCUGACUUGGAUGAACAUUCUGGUCUGUUGGUAUGUAUAUGCUAGGUUGGUGUUUGGUAGGCCCUUGGUUGAUUGAACAUGGUUGCUUGGAUGUAUGCUUUGGUCAUGCUUAUAUAUAUGCAAUGUUUGGAAAUGUUGGUUAUGGUUGCUAGGAUGGAUUGUUUUAGUCAUGGUUUAGGUUGUGUCUGAAAGUGAUAAUGUGUUUUUUCAUUUGGUUAUGUGCAUGCUUACUUGGACUUGUAACAUUGCUUGGAUGGUUUCCAUUUUGUAGGAUGACAUGCACAUGGUGACUUGUAAAUGAAGAAACCAUGCUAGAAAAAAGCAAACAUGGAUUUGGAUGGUGAAUCAAGGAAAAUUGGAUUAGGUUAGGUCUUAGGGUGGUAAAGGGGGGUCAAUUGAGUUUGCUCAACGGGUUGACCAAAAAGUCAACUGUUGACCAAAAGUCAAUUGUUAUAAAAAAUAGUCAAACUUGUAAUUUUUUUGUAUGUAUGGACUUUGAAUAAUCAAUGUAUAAAUGAAAUUUGAUAUUUGGUAUUUGUUUAUGAAUGAAUGGAUUUGAAUGAUAUUGUAUGGAAAUGACUUGAAUUGAAUGUAUGGAAAUGAAUUGUAUGGAAA
RNAcentral lists this long non-coding RNA (2405 nucleotides) under Lathyrus oleraceus (garden pea). Its description in RNAcentral is "Pisum sativum (pea) long non-coding RNA (PSAT_LNC032034)". The record is from RNAcentral. Lineage: Eukaryota; Viridiplantae; Streptophyta; Magnoliopsida; Fabales; Fabaceae.